Molecule: ribosomal RNA, 433 nt
Filed under: uncultured bacterium
Lineage: Bacteria
Description: partial 16S ribosomal RNA
Rfam family: Bacterial small subunit ribosomal RNA
Source: RNAcentral
AACGAACGCUGGCGGCAGGCCUAACACAUGCAAGUCGAGCGAGGACUUCGGGUCUAGCGGCGGACGGGGGAGUACCGCGUGGGAAUUUGCCCUUCUCUACGGAAUAGCCCUGGGAAACUGAGAGUAAUACCGUAUACGCCCUAUUGGGGAAAGAUUUAUCGGGGAAGGAUCAGCCCUCGUUGGAUUCGGUAGUUGGGGGGGGAAUGGCCUACCAAGCGGACGAUCCAUAGCUGGUGGGGGAGGAGGAUCAGCUCCAAUGGGACUGCGACACGGACCAGAACCCGACGGGAGGCAGCAGAGGGGUAUCUUAGACGAGGGGGGCAACCGUGACCUAGCCACGCCGGGUGAGUGAUCAAUGCCGUAGGGUUGUAAAGCUCUCUCAGAUGGGAAGAUAAUGACGGUACCAGCAGAAGAAGCACCGGCUAACUACGUG